Molecule: non-coding RNA, 31 nt
Filed under: Mus musculus (house mouse)
Lineage: Eukaryota; Metazoa; Chordata; Mammalia; Rodentia; Muridae
Source: RNAcentral
UCCACAGUCCAUAGGUACCCCCAACCCCAAC